RNAcentral lists this transfer RNA (87 nucleotides) under Cnuella takakiae. It matches the Rfam family "tRNA". Rfam says of the family: Transfer RNA (tRNA) molecules are approximately 80 nucleotides in length. Their secondary structure includes four short double-helical elements and three loops (D, anti-codon, and T loops). The record is from Rfam by way of RNAcentral. Lineage: Bacteria; Pseudomonadati; Bacteroidota; Chitinophagia; Chitinophagales; Chitinophagaceae.
GGAGAGGUGCCAGAGCGGUCGAAUGGGACGGUCUCGAAAACCGUUGUAUGGGUAACUGUACCGAGGGUUCGAAUCCCUCCCUCUCCG